CCUACGGGGGGCAGCAGUGGGGAAUAUUGGACAAUGGGCGAAAGCCUGAUCCAGCCAUGCCGCGUGUGUGAAGGCCUUCGGGUUGUAAAGCACUUUCAGUGGGGAAGAAAGCCUUGGGGCUAAUACCCUCGAGGAAGGACAUCACCCACAGAAGAAGCACCGGCUAACUCCGUGCCAGCAGCCGCGGUAAUACGGAGGGUGCGAGCGUUAAUCGGAAUUACUGGGCGUAAAGCGCGCGUAGGCGGUCUGAUAAGCCGGUUGUGAAAGCCCCGGGCUCAACCUGGGAACGGCAUCCGGAACUGUCAGGCUAGAGUGCAGGAGAGGAAGGUAGAAUUCCCGGUGUAGCGGUGAAAUGCGUAGAGAUCGGGAGGAAUACCAGUGGCGAAGGCGGCCUUCUGGACUGACACUGACGCUGAGGUGCGAAAGCGUGGGUAGCAAACAGGAUUAGAUACCCCAGUAGUC
Molecule: ribosomal RNA, 462 nt
Filed under: Vreelandella stevensii
Lineage: Bacteria; Pseudomonadati; Pseudomonadota; Gammaproteobacteria; Oceanospirillales; Halomonadaceae
Description: partial 16S ribosomal RNA
Rfam family: Bacterial small subunit ribosomal RNA
Source: RNAcentral